RNAcentral lists this ribosomal RNA (253 nucleotides) under uncultured bacterium. Its description in RNAcentral is "partial 16S ribosomal RNA". It matches the Rfam family "Bacterial small subunit ribosomal RNA", at positions 524 to 776 of the family's 1533-position model. The record is from RNAcentral.
UACGUAUGGUGCAAGCGUUAUCCGGAUUUACUGGGUGUAAAGGGAGCGUAGGCGGCGCGUUAAGUCUGAUGUGAGAACCCGAGGCUCAACCACGGGAGUGCAUUGGAAACUGGCGAGCUGGAGUGCCGGAGAGGUAAGCGGAAUUCCUAGUGUAGCGGUGAAAUGCGUAGAUACUAGGAGGAACACCAGUGGCGAAGGCGGCUUACUGGACGGCAACUGACGCUGAGGCUCGAAAGCGUGGGGAGCAAACAGG